GACGUAGGGCGCGAGCGUUGUCCGGAUUUAUUGGGCGUAAAGAGCUCGUAGGCGGCUUGUCGCGUCGGCUGUGAAAACCCGCGGCUCAACUGUGGGCGGGCAGCUGAUACGGGCAGGCUGGAGUUCGGUAGGGGAGCACGGAAUUCCUGGUGUAGCGGUGAAAUGCGCAGAUAUCAGGAGGAACACCGGUGGCGAAGGCGGUGCUCUGGGCCGAAACUGACGCUGAGGAGCGAAAGCGUGGGUAGCAAACAGG
This 253-nucleotide ribosomal RNA is filed under the name uncultured bacterium. Its description in RNAcentral is "partial 16S ribosomal RNA". It matches the Rfam family "Bacterial small subunit ribosomal RNA", at positions 524 to 776 of the family's 1533-position model. The record is from RNAcentral.